AUGGAAUAUUAUGAACAAACACAUGAUGAAAAUCCCGAGGAGGAUGACGAGGAAACCCUUGGUAGGGGCAAGAGACAAAGGACUGCAAAGACCUUUGGUGAUGAUUUCUUCGUGUACCUCGUGGAUGAUACUCCCACUUCUAUUUCAGAAGCGUAUGCCUCUCCAGAAGCUGACUACUGGAAGGAUGCGGUCCGUAGCGAGAUGGAUUCCAUCAUGGCUAACGGGACAUGGGAGAUCACUGACCGUCCCUAUGGUUGCAAACCACUGGGAUGUAAGUGGGUGUUCAAAAAGAAGCUUAGGCCCGAUGGUACGAUUGAAAAGUACAAGGCUAGGCUUGUGGCCAAGGGCUAUGACCAGCAAGAAGAGGAAGAUUUCUUUGAUACUUAUUCACCUGUGGCUAGACUGACCACCAUUCGAGUAUUACUCUCGUUGGCGGCCUCACAUGGUCUUCUCGUCCAUCAGAUGGAUGUUAAGACGGCUUUUCUAAAUGGAGAGCUAAAGGAGGAAAUCUACAUGCAACAGCCUGAUGGCUUUGUGAUGGAUGGUCAGGAAAGAAAGGUGUGUAGGUUGAUAAAAUCUUUAUAUGGCCUGAAACAAGCACCUAAGCAAUGGCAUGAUAAGUUUAAUACAACUCUGACAUCUGUUGGUUUUGUUGUUAAUGAGGCUGACAAAUGUGUAUACUAUCGCCAUGGUGGGGGCGAAGGAGUUAUACUGUGCUUGUAUGUUGAUGACAUACUGAUAUUCGGAACAAACCUCAAAGUCAUUGAGGAGGUCAAAUCGUUUCUAUCUCAGAACUUUGAGAUGAAAGACCUUGGUGUGGCUGAUGUUAUCUUGAACAUCAAGCUACUGAGAGAUAAUGAGGGUGGGAUCACACUUCUGCAAUCCCAUUAUGUUGAGAAGGUGUUGAGUCGUUUUGGAUAUUCGGACUGCACACCAUCUCAAACACCAUAUGAUCCUAGCGUAUUGAUUCGAAAGUCCAAAGGCAUGGCUAAAGAUCAAUUGAGAUACUCUCAAAUCAUUGGUUCACUGAUGUACCUAGCGAGCGCAACGAGGCCUGACAUCGCGUUUUGCUGUGAGCAAACUGAGCCGGUUUGUUUCCAAACCGGGUGA
RNAcentral lists this ribosomal RNA (1110 nucleotides) under Triticum aestivum (bread wheat). RNAcentral describes it as "partial small subunit ribosomal RNA". Lineage: Eukaryota; Viridiplantae; Streptophyta; Magnoliopsida; Poales; Poaceae. The record is from RNAcentral.